This 300-nucleotide ribosomal RNA is filed under the name uncultured bacterium. Its description in RNAcentral is "partial 16S ribosomal RNA". It matches the Rfam family "Bacterial small subunit ribosomal RNA", at positions 354 to 671 of the family's 1533-position model. The record is from RNAcentral.
GUGGGGAAUAUUGCACAAUGGGCGAAAGCCUGAUGCAGCAACGCCGCGUGAGUGAUGAAGGUCUUCGGAUUGUAAAGCUCUGUCUUUUGGGACGAUAAUGACGGUACCAAAGGAGGAAGCCACGGCUAACUACGUGCCAGCAGCCGCGGUAAUACGUAGGUGGCGAGCGUUGUCCGGAUUUACUGGGCGUAAAGGGUGCGUAGGCGGAUGUUUAAGUGAGAUGUGAAAUACCCGGGCUUAACUUGGGUGCUGCAUUUCAAACUGGAUAUCUAGAGUGCAGGAGAGGAGAAUGGAAUUCCU